Molecule: ribosomal RNA, 395 nt
Filed under: uncultured bacterium
Lineage: Bacteria
Description: partial 16S ribosomal RNA
Rfam family: Bacterial small subunit ribosomal RNA
Source: RNAcentral
AUACGUAGGGUGCAAGCGUUAAUCGGAAUUACUGGGCGUAAAGCGUGCGCAGGCGGUUUUUUAAGACAGUGGUGAAAUCCCCGGGCUUAACCUGGGCAAUGCCAUUGUGACUGCAAGGCUGGGGUGCGGCAGAGGGGGGUGGAAUUCCGCGUGUAGCAGUGAAAUGCGUAGAUAUGCGGAGGAACACCGAUGGCGAAGGCAAUCCCCUGGGCCUGCACUGACGCUCAUGCACGAAAGCGUGGGGAGCAAACAGGAUUAGAUACCCUGGUAGUCCACGCCCUAAACGAUGUCAACUGGUUGUUGGGGAUUUAUUUUCUCAGUAACGAAGCUAACGCGUGAAGUUGACCGCCUGGGGAGUACGGCCGCAAGGUUAAAACUCAAAUGAAUUGACGGGG